RNAcentral lists this long non-coding RNA (314 nucleotides) under Trifolium pratense (red clover). Its description in RNAcentral is "long non-coding RNA (TPRA_LNC011951)". The record is from RNAcentral. Lineage: Eukaryota; Viridiplantae; Streptophyta; Magnoliopsida; Fabales; Fabaceae.
UAGAAUGUAGAAAGUAGCAUACUUAAGAGAAACAUAUAUCACAUUACAUUUGACAAGGAAAGAGUAACUCGUCUGCAACAUUGCAAAGAAAUCAAGCAUAUAUUAACAUGAUAAGAGUUAAGAAAACCAAACCCAACAACCAACAUAGUAUAUCAAUACCAACCAACAUAGUAUAUCAAUACCAUCAAAACUCCAAGGACCCAUCUUGUUUGUAUGGAACCCUCCAUCCAGCUAAGGGUUUGGUUUUCCUCUCACAAAAGCAUUUUCUGACCAAUUUAGGCCAACUAUACCAUGACAUCAUGUAGAUUUUAGAC